AAGGUGGCUGAGUCAUUAGGCGGUAGAUUGUAAAUUUAUAGACAAGUUAAAACUUUCUUAUUG
RNAcentral lists this transfer RNA (63 nucleotides) under Nephropsis grandis. Its description in RNAcentral is "tRNA-Tyr". The record is from RNAcentral. Lineage: Eukaryota; Metazoa; Arthropoda; Malacostraca; Decapoda; Nephropidae.